Molecule: non-coding RNA, 74 nt
Organism: Lasiosphaeria ovina
Lineage: Eukaryota; Fungi; Ascomycota; Sordariomycetes; Sordariales; Lasiosphaeriaceae
Source: the annotation of a GenBank genome assembly
GGUCGGAUGGUAUAGUUGGUUAUCACGUCAGUCUAACACACUGGAGAUCUCUGGUUCAAGCCCAGGUCUAAUUA